AAAAAGAAAAUACUGUUUCCGUAGACAGUAGGUGCCGAAAGGUUUAAAGUGAUCGCCUACCUAGGAUAUACUAGAUAUGUGAUUAUUUGGUCUUCCUGUGUCUAUGGGAAGACCUUUCUUAAUAUAUAU
Molecule: regulatory RNA element, 129 nt
Organism: Clostridium celatum DSM 1785
Lineage: Bacteria; Bacillati; Bacillota; Clostridia; Eubacteriales; Clostridiaceae
Rfam family: Ribosomal protein L10 leader
About the family: This family is a putative r-protein leader autoregulatory structure found in B. subtilis and other low-GC Gram-positive bacteria. It is located in the 5' untranslated regions of mRNAs encoding ribosomal proteins L10 and L12 (rplJ-rplL). A Rho-independent transcription terminator structure that is probably involved in regulation is included at the 3' end.
Source: Rfam